Molecule: transfer RNA, 76 nt
Filed under: compost metagenome
Description: tRNA-Phe
Rfam family: tRNA
About the family: Transfer RNA (tRNA) molecules are approximately 80 nucleotides in length. Their secondary structure includes four short double-helical elements and three loops (D, anti-codon, and T loops). Further hydrogen bonds mediate the characteristic L-shaped molecular structure. tRNAs have two regions of fundamental functional importance: the anti-codon, which is responsible for specific mRNA codon recognition, and the 3' end, to which the tRNAs corresponding amino acid is attached (by aminoacyl-tRNA synthetases). tRNAs cope with the degeneracy of the genetic code in two manners: having more than one tRNA (with a specific anti-codon) for a particular amino acid; and 'wobble' base-pairing, i.e. permitting non-standard base-pairing at the 3rd anti-codon position.
Source: RNAcentral
GCCCUGGUAGCUCAGUUGGUAGAGCAGCGGACUGAAAAUUCGCGUGUCGCAGGUUCGAUUCCUGCCCUCGGCACCA